UGGGAUAUAGUUAAAUUGGAUAUAAUGUAUGCUUUGGGAGCUUUUGUUAUCGGUUCGAGUCCGAUUAUCCUGA
Molecule: transfer RNA, 73 nt
Filed under: Paramoeba aparasomata
Lineage: Eukaryota; Discosea; Flabellinia; Dactylopodida; Paramoebidae
Description: tRNA-Pro
Rfam family: tRNA
About the family: Transfer RNA (tRNA) molecules are approximately 80 nucleotides in length. Their secondary structure includes four short double-helical elements and three loops (D, anti-codon, and T loops).
Source: RNAcentral